Molecule: ribosomal RNA, 465 nt
Filed under: uncultured bacterium
Lineage: Bacteria
Description: bacterial SSU rRNA
Rfam family: Bacterial small subunit ribosomal RNA
Source: RNAcentral
AGGACGAACGCUGGCGGCGUGCUUAACACAUGCAAGUCGAGCGAUGAAGCACCUUCGGGUGUGAAUUAGCGGCGAACGGGUGAGGAACACGUGAGAAAUCUGCCUUCAACACUGGGAUAACUCCGGGAAACCGGGGCUAAUACCGGAUAUGAAACCUGCGGGCAUCCGCGGGUUUGGAAAGUUUUUCGGUUGAAGAUGAUCUCGCGGCCUAUCAGCUUGUUGGUGAGGUAAUGGCUCACCAAGGCGACGACGGGUAGCCGGCCUGAGAGGGCGACCGGCCACACUGGGACUGAGACACGGCCCAGACUCCUACGGGAGGCAGCAGUGGGGAAUAUUGGGCAAUGGAGGAAACUCUGACCCAGCGACGCCGCGUGCGGGAUGAAGGCCUUCGGGUUGUAAACCGCUUUCAGCAGGGAAGAAGCGAAAGUGACGGUACCUGCAGAAGAAGCACCGGCUAACUAUGUG